Long non-coding RNA from Mercurialis annua (annual mercury), 572 nucleotides. RefSeq lists it as uncharacterized. The record is from RefSeq and is a predicted model, not a curated record. NCBI's taxonomy places the organism in Eukaryota, Viridiplantae, Streptophyta, Magnoliopsida, Malpighiales, Euphorbiaceae. The transcript has 3 exons.
GUACUUAAGUUUUUUGUUCAAUGUCAAAUUGUAUAGGUUUCUUCAAGGACCUGAAAUUGAUCAAGAAAUUGUCUCAAAGAUAAGAGAUGCUAUUAUAUAACAGAGGGAAAUUACUGUUCAGUUGAUCAACUUUCCUAAAAGUGGGUGAGCUACAAUACUUCAUUGGUGUUCAACUGGAUAAAAGUGAUCACGUGGAACUGCUAAGAAACCGUCUCUCUGAGCAUACAGAGCUACAAAGUGUUAAGUUGGUAUGCAAUUUCUUGAUUAUUUGUAACAAAUUAUCAAGACCGGAAAUGUUUAGCAACAAUGGCUGCAUAGUUUCUUGCGUGAAUUACAAAUACACGACAUGAUAUGUUCAUUGCCAUUUGUAAGAGAAAAGUGGCUCGUUCUUACAAGGAAUCAAGGGAAGAUACAACUAGCAAGAUUUCCAAAUUACAAGAGCUCUUAAACAAUGGAAUUCACUGUUAUAGGUGAGAGGCCUCCCGAUCGUGAGAGGGGUUACGAGAAGCAAUUUGAAGAACGGAGAAGGAAGCAGUUAUUAAUAACUGUACCCGAAGAGCUUGUGUAAUCUA